CUCAUUGAUGAUGGUGAGAUGGCAUCUCAUAUACUUAAUGGUCUUGACUUUGAGUAUAAUCCUUUUGUAUCUUCAAAGCUUGGCCAUGCGGAUCCCCUUCCUCUCUGAGUUAUACUCUCAUCUGAUGUCCUAUGAGC
RNAcentral lists this small nucleolar RNA (137 nucleotides) under Setaria italica (foxtail millet). RNAcentral's name for it is "Small nucleolar RNA Z247". It matches the Rfam family "Small nucleolar RNA Z247". Rfam says of the family: Z247 is a member of the C/D class of snoRNA which contain the C (UGAUGA) and D (CUGA) box motifs. Most of the members of the box C/D family function in directing site-specific 2'-O-methylation of substrate RNAs. The record is from Rfam by way of RNAcentral. Lineage: Eukaryota; Viridiplantae; Streptophyta; Magnoliopsida; Poales; Poaceae.